Molecule: long non-coding RNA, 687 nt
Filed under: Rattus norvegicus (Norway rat)
Lineage: Eukaryota; Metazoa; Chordata; Mammalia; Rodentia; Muridae
Description: long non-coding RNA NONRATT007613
Source: RNAcentral
GAGGUUUUUUUGUUAUUAUUUUUUUUUUCCAGAGCUGGGGACCGAACCCAGGGCCUUGCACUCGCUAGGCAAGCGCUCUACCGCUGAGCUAAAUCCCCAACCACGAGGGAGGUUGUUGUUUUCAAACUCAAGCUUGCCGGAUGACAUGGAAGGCUCAGAGCCCGCUGAGUCCCAGCGGGUCCCUGGUUCAGGUUAGUUUUUCCUUCUGAGACGUUUCUGGAGAGGUGAGAAAUCUGUCCAUCUGAGGUCUGCUCUUUGAGAUUCGGUAUCUCACAGAACGAUGAGAACACAGGCUGGGGUGAGGGAAAGGGUAGUUGAGGCAAAGUGAUGGGGGCGUGACCCCAGCCCCUUUGUGUGUGUCAUUUGCACUCAGUGUGACCCGAACUCGCUGGGACUCGGGAGCCCUCGGAACUCUGUGUGUGACUCACGGGGUCAUUCAGUAUCUGGUGUGCAUUGAGUGUGCAGGGUGGGGGUGGGGGAUUAUAUUUAAGACUCUUGUUAGGAAAAGAAACUUGAACUUCACCCUGUGUUACCAGAAAACACAGGAGGGUUUUAAGCAAGAGAAGGAUAUGAUGAUUUUUUUGUUCUGUUUUGUUUUGUUUUUUCUUUUUUUUUCGGAGCUGGGGACCGAACCCAGGGCCUUGCGGUUGCUAGGCAAGCGCUCUACCACUGAGCCAAAUCCCCAAC